This 1512-nucleotide long non-coding RNA is filed under the name Homo sapiens (human). Its description in RNAcentral is "HSALNT0087506". Lineage: Eukaryota; Metazoa; Chordata; Mammalia; Primates; Hominidae. The record is from RNAcentral.
GUGCAAGCAAGAUCCAAGAAUAUCCAGAACUAUUCCUAAGCCACAUCGUGUAUUAUUAUCAAAUGGCCUGUGAAGCAGAUUCUCUUGCUGGGACAGUUUUUAAGACCUCUCUAUACUGAAUUGGGACACUGCCUGGAAGUUGUCCAAACUCUGCCUUUUGAAAGAAUAUUGAUGACUAAGAAAACUUGCCCUGAAUAAACUAAUGUUAGGACACAGGAAAGCACCCUCACUUCAAGUCAUGUUCAUUCCACAAUCUCAUAUUUCAGAUGUCAUGGUUGCAGGAUUGGUCGUGUUGUGUUGGAGCUGAGAAGAGGCAGUGCCCAUCAAUCAGCAGUUCCUGCGUGCUAAUCCUCACCCCAGUGAGCUGAUUGAGUCCUCUGGAUUCUGACCACUGUGAUGGUCAAUCAUACAGCUGCUCUAUUCAGCCUCAUCAUCUCCCUAUUCUUACAGAUUAUUGCAUCAUGGCCACCAAGACAAAAAGAAAGAGAAAGGGGAUCAAAGUCAUCAAAGCCACGUGUCCUGAAAGAAAUACUCAAUGUGACAGGAAUUUUUCAUCAAAUUGACUUGCUGUAAAAGACUAUUUCUAUCAAAUAGCAAUCAAAUGGUUAUGAUUAUAAGUAAUCAAAAGCUGGAUGUUGCUGUAAUGGUGGUGGUUUCUCCAGUUUCCUCUGGUUUCUAUUCAGAAUGCAUAUAAAUCUCGCCUUUUAAUUUUGAGGCCAUUUCUCUAACCCUUACAAUUCUAUUACUUAUUUAAACCUCAAACUCGGAAAGCAAUGAUGUCAGAAACAAUCAGUAGUUCUACUCAUAGCAAGUCCAUCACAAUUUUUUUUACUCUGAUUCUGACAUUGAUUCAAUAACUUUGUAAAAAUUAUUUGUCACCUGCCAAUUGACUUCUAUGGUAAUGAGAAUCAUCUGGCAUUUUGCUACAGUUACCAAAUAACAAAGAAAUAUCGUGAAAAAUCACUUAUUAGAAUUAUCUUCACAUUUGUGAAAUAUUUGUUAAACAUUUUGAUGCUUGUGACAGUGUCAGAAGUAAUUAUUGCAACUAUAUUGCAACUGUAUUACCAAACUGAGCUGGUGACAAUCAAUUCUUAUUACAUGUAAUGGUGUGAAACAGUAUUUCCUGUAAAAGAGUGGUAUAGCCUUUUGAAAUUGGUUUCCAUGAAGAAUUUAUUUUUCAUCUCCUUAUCUUGAUAAAAAGAUAUUCCAGAGAUAAGUAAAAGUUCUGCUUAAAUCUUUCUUUUUGUUGAUAAACUGAAAACUUAUCCUGUAAAGAUAAUUUUCUUUUUUUCUUAAAGACUCAGAUUACUUAUUAUUAUUUUUUAUUAACAUAUAAAUGACAAAUAAAAAUUGUACAUAUAUGGUAUAUAACGUGAUGUUUUGAUAUAAUAUACAUUGUGAAAUAGUUAAAUCAAGCUAAUUGAUAUAUCCAAGACCUCACAUACUUUGGUUGUUGUAAGAACAUGUAAGAUCUAAUCUCUUAGCAACUUUAAAGUAUACAAUAUAUUGUUA